UACAGAGGGUGCGAGCGUUAAUCGGAAUUACUGGGCGUAAAGCGCGCGUAGGCGGCUUUGCAAGUCGGGUGUGAAAUCCCCAGGCUCAACCUGGGAACUGCAUUCGAGACUGCAUUGCUAGAGUAUGGGAGAGGGAAGUGGAAUUUCCGGUGUAGCGGUGAAAUGCGUAGAUAUUGGGAAGAACACCGGUGGCGAAGGCGGCGACCUGGUCCGAUACUGACGCUGAGGCGCGAAAGCGUGGGGAGCAAACAGG
Molecule: ribosomal RNA, 253 nt
Filed under: uncultured bacterium
Lineage: Bacteria
Description: partial 16S ribosomal RNA
Rfam family: Bacterial small subunit ribosomal RNA
Source: RNAcentral